RNAcentral lists this ribosomal RNA (253 nucleotides) under uncultured bacterium. RNAcentral's name for it is "partial 16S ribosomal RNA". It matches the Rfam family "Bacterial small subunit ribosomal RNA", at positions 524 to 776 of the family's 1533-position model. The record is from RNAcentral.
UACGUAGGGUGCAAGCGUUAAUCGGAAUUACUGGGCGUAAAGCGUGCGCAGGCGGUUAUGUAAGACAGAUGUGAAAUCCCCGGGCUUAACCUGGGAAUUGCAUUUGUGACUGCCCGGCUAGAGUGUGUCAGAGGGGGGUAGAAUUCCACGUGUAGCAGUGAAAUGCGUAGAGAUGUGGAGGAAUACCGAUGGCGAAGGCAGCCCCCUGGGAUAACACUGACGCUCAUGCACGAAAGCGUGGGGAGCAAACAGG